ACUUCCUCCUUGUGCCUCAAGGGCCAGCCAGGCACCCAGGUAAGAGCCUCCCCCGGGCAGUCAGACCCCUGCAGCCCCUCUGUCCCCAGGGUGCCUCUGAGCCCAGCCCAGCUGAGGAAAAAAGGAAGGGACCUGGGCAAUUGCUGGGUGACCCAAGGAAGUCCCUUCCAGCCCCUGGGCCUCUUUCCACCUGUAGGGUGAGGGGUCAGGACUCCUGCUGCUGCUGCCUCUGCCAGACCAAACCAGACAAGGCACUGGGUCUUGCCCGGGAAAACUUUCGAAGGACCUGCUGAGAGCUUUGGGGACAGGGGUUGGGGGUCACCGGCUAAGGUGGCUGCAGAGGACUCCUGCCCUCAGCCCACCUUGCCGCCUCCCCGGGGGGAGAGCCCUACUUCAGGGAGCCAGUCAGUCCACACAGCCCCCGAGGCCCUGUUCUGUGACCUUGGGCAGCCUCCUUCGCCUCCCAGGGCUGGCUUCCACCGCUGCAAAAGCAGAAUAUAGCCCAGGUCCGUUCUGAAAGCUCAGAGUCCCAGCUCUUCCUCUCCAAAGUCUUUGGAGUCUCCAAAAUGUCCCCUAGGUCUCGGCAGAACUGGCAUUGUAACUGUCACUGAGGUCCCCUGGGCCAGAACCUGUCUGGGGGGUGGGGUGAGAACACGCUUUGCAGGAGAAAAGACUGUUACCCCAGGGACCUCAGGCCAGUUCAGGGACUCCAGCCAACCCUCCCUCCUCUCCUGCUGGGGGGCCAGACCCAAAGCUUGAAGGGAGGGUGGCUGGCCAGUGUGCAGGGGGUCUUCACAAGCCCUGAUUGGCGUGUGAGGAAGCAGCGGCAGCUCAGAGAGGUUAAGCCACUUGCCCGAGAUCACUCAGCUCUCAGGCCACCGAGGCGCUCAGUGCUCUUCCCGAUGGGCCGUGGCUUCUAGCCUGGUUCUUGGCGUUCCACGGCAGGUUUCCAGUUCCCCGUUUGUCCCCUUCCCCCUCCCCCUCCUCUGUCCCUCUCCGGUGUCUCUGCCUGUGCCCCUCUCAUUUCUUUCUCCUGUGGCCUCUGGGCCUCACUCUCCCACUUUCGCCCCCUCUCCCACCGCCCCUCUCUCUUUCCGUCUCAUCUGCAGCUUCGUAUAUGGGGCCAUCGGGAAUCUGGGCAUUCAGAGGGCCCCGGAGCUGGUCAGAUGCCCAGCCGUCCGUCCCUGUCCCUCUGCCCUGUGGCUGCAGCAGGAAGGGUGGGCAAAGGGCACGGAGUGGAGGCCGCAGCAGCCGAACCUGGAACAGGGGCCCAGCUCUGGUUCGGAAAGAAACGAGGAAACAAGGAACUUGGGGAGAGAGGGUGCGGGGGUGUCGGAGCGGGCAAAGGCUGCCAGGGGCUGUAAACUGGAGCCACUCCCAGCUUUAUGAGCAGAUCUGGGCUUGAGACCGGACUUCGCCCAGAGAAGGAGAGCUGGCACCAGCCUCCAGGCGUGGGCCCUCUAUGAUAAGGAGCCUCAAUAAAAAGACAAUGGACCUGGGGCCAUGAAGACCCAGGGCGCCCAGUGGGUGGGCUUGCUCUACUCCCCAGAGGCUGCCCAAAGGGAGCUGCCAGGCAGGCAGGGCCCAGGCCUCCAGUUGGCUGCCACCCCCUGUAACAGCAACUCCAUGUGGAAGUGCCCACUAGUUCCAGUGGGGCUGCUGUUAUCUGGGGUGGGGGCCAGUGCCCUCGGAGGAGGAGAGGUGGCUGUUGUCCAGCAGACCAGCAGGGAUCCCCACAGCCACGAUCCCAGGCCCAGGAUGGUGCAGGGUGGUGGGCUGUCGGCAGGCUGCCAAGACCGAGUGCACAGGGCUCUGACCUAUGAAUUGACAGCCAGUGCUCUCAUCUCCCCUCUGGCUGCCAAUUCCAUAGGUCACAGGUAUGUUCGCCUCAAUGCCAGCCUCCAGGACCUGCGGGGGUUGGGGGGGGGAGCAGGACAGGAGUGUCAAGUGGGCAACGAAGACUCGCCGUCUCAGUGCAGCGAUCAAGGCCCAGCCCCCUUCUCCCAUUUCCACUUUUCCAUCUCCUUUCUCCUGAGCGCGAACUGCUUUCGGUCCCCACCGAUACUGACUGUGCUUUGUCCAGGCUGUUCCCUCUGCCUGGAACACCCUUCCCUGCUUUUUUGCCAGGCUCACUUUUUUUUUUUCCUUUUUAGGGCCACACCCACAGAACAUGAAGGUUCCCAGUCUAGGGGCCAGCGGCUACAGCUCCGAUUCGACCCCUAGCCUGGGAACCUCCGUAUGCCGCGGGAAGCGGCCCUAGAAAAAAGCAAAANNNNNNNNNNNNNNAAAAAAAAAAAAAAAAAAAGGAGUGGGCUUGCCAGGGUGCCGGCUCUUCCGCCAGCCGUGCAUCUGUGGCCACCAGCAGAGGGCGCCCGGGACCGCAUCUCACAAGCGCUGGGCGGGGUCCGCCCUCCCCGCCCCUCCCUCCCCAGCCCGGACCCCAGCAGCCGUCCCCGCCCCUCCCGGGCCCCUGCCCGCCCGCCGGCGACGGUCAGCCCCCCUACAGGCAGCGGCGGCGCAGUCUGUCUUUGCUGGUGACCCACCCCCAGGGAAACACAAGGCUGACCUUUACCGGAAUCACUGCCUUGCCUUUCUCUGCGGUUUACCAGCCAGGUAAAAAUGAUGUGUUCAUUUUGCCUGGGGUGGUCGCGGUUCGUUAUGUCAGUGGAACCCUGUGGCUGUGUCCUCUGUCGCCGCGGUUUGUUCAGGUUGUUCGCAGCCAGCGAUGUUCCGUCGUAAGAGUAGAAUCCAGGUGCUUUGUCCAGUCCACUGUAAAUGGACCUUGUGCCGCUGCUAAUGAGGCAGCAAAUGUCAUAAUAACGAACCCCACCGUGCCUGAAGCAGCGGUACCUUGGUGCAAGCCUUUUUCUUUUUGUUUUUGACAAUUAGGAAACUUUCAGAAAAGUUGCAAGAAAAGUGCAAUGACGCUCCAUAUACCCUUGGCUCACAUUCACCAGAGUAGCUACCCAUGUCGCCACAUUGGCUCUCUCUCUCCCUCUGUCACAUACAUACACAUUUUUUUCCCUGAACCAUUCCACACGUAAGCUACAUAGCUCACGACCCUGCACUCUUAAGUAUUUCAACAUGCAUCCCCUAAGAAAAAUGACAUUUCUUACACAACCACAGCAUGGUUACCAAAUUUAGGCCUGGUGACAGUGAUGCAAUACCGAUGCAGCGCUGGGAUCUGGCAUGUGGUCCACUUUCGAGCGGUCCCCGCUUGUCCCAGUCAUGCCUUGAAUUUGGUUGUUAGGUCUGUACCUUAUUUUUUUAGGGCCGCACCCAUGGCAUAUGGAGAUUCCCAGGCUAGGAGUCCAAUCGGAGUUGUAGCCACUGGCUUACACCACAGCCACAGCAACACCAGACCCGAGCCACAUCUGUGACCUGCACCACAGCUUACAGCAACGCUGGAUCCUUGACCCACUGAUCGAGGCCAGGGAUCGAACCCGCGUCCUCAUAAAGAACUCCCAAGUCUCUUUAGUCUUUAAUCUGGAACCAUCCUCAGCCUUACUUUGUUUUUAAAGACCUUGACAUUUUUGACAGUAUAGACAUUUUACAGAAUGUCCCUCAGCAUUUUUUCCCCCUUUCCUCUCCCCCCCAGUUAAGAAAAUCAGUUAUGUCCAUUAUAUAAAAUUUGGACAAUAUAGGAGUUCCCACUGUGGCUCAGUGGUUAAUGAACCUGAGGACACAGGCUCAAUCCCUGGCCUUGCUCAGUGGGUUAAGGAUCCGGUGCUGCCGUGCGGUUGCAGUCGUGGCUCGGAUCCCAUGUUGCUGUGGCUGUGGUAUAAGCCACAAACUACAGCUCUGAUUCCACGCCUAUCCUGGGAAUCUCCAUAUGCCUCGGGUGCAG
Molecule: long non-coding RNA, 3847 nt
Filed under: Sus scrofa (pig)
Lineage: Eukaryota; Metazoa; Chordata; Mammalia; Artiodactyla; Suidae
Description: lncRNA (ENSSSCG00040052341.1)
Rfam family: mir-194 microRNA precursor family (bases 1599-1679)
Source: RNAcentral